UCCGCACGAGGGGACGUCGAACGUAUCUCCUUCUUGCCUUUUACCAGAUGGAGCCGGGCGUCCGCUUGGCUAAUGCGGAUAUGCAGUUUUUGGAAUCCCUCUCUGAGGGUA
Molecule: small nuclear RNA, 111 nt
Filed under: Neolecta irregularis DAH-3
Lineage: Eukaryota; Fungi; Ascomycota; Neolectomycetes; Neolectales; Neolectaceae
Description: U5 spliceosomal RNA
Rfam family: U5 spliceosomal RNA
About the family: U5 RNA is a component of both types of known spliceosome.
Source: Rfam by way of RNAcentral